UGGGGAAUUUUGGACAAUGGGCGAAAGCCUGAUCCAGCAAUGCCGCGUGUGUGAAGAAGGCCUUCGGGUUGUAAAGCACUUUUGUCCGGAAAGAAAUCCUUGGCUCUAAUACAGUCGGGGGAUGACGGUACCGGAAGAAUAAGCACCGGCUAACUACGUGCCAGCAGCCGCGGUAAUACGUAGGGUGCAAGCGUUAAUCGGAAUUACUGGGCGUAAAGCGUGCGCAGGCGGUUUGCUAAGACCGAUGUGAAAUCCCCGGGCUCAACCUGGGAACUGCAUUGGUGACUGGCAGGCUAGAGUAUGGCAGAGGGAGGUAGAAUUCCACGUGUAGCAGUGAAAUGCGUAGAGAUGUGGAGGAAUACCGAUGGCGAAGGCAGCCCCCUGGGCCAAGUACUGACGCUCAUGCACGAAAGCGU
RNAcentral lists this ribosomal RNA (416 nucleotides) under uncultured bacterium. RNAcentral's name for it is "partial 16S ribosomal RNA". It matches the Rfam family "Bacterial small subunit ribosomal RNA", at positions 355 to 762 of the family's 1533-position model. The record is from RNAcentral.